This 499-nucleotide ribosomal RNA is filed under the name uncultured bacterium. RNAcentral's name for it is "bacterial SSU rRNA". It matches the Rfam family "Bacterial small subunit ribosomal RNA", at positions 28 to 524 of the family's 1533-position model. The record is from RNAcentral.
GAUGAACGCUAGCGGCAGGCCUAAUACAUGCAAGACGAACGGUAAGUUGAGUAGCAAUACUUAGCCAAGAGUGUCGUACGGGUGCGUAACACGUAUGCAACCUACCCUAUACAGGAGGAUAGCCUAGGGAAACCUGGAUUAACCCUUCAUAGUAUUAUUGGAUGGCAUCAUUUGAUAAUUAAAACUGAGGUGGUAUAGGAUGGGCAUGCGUCUGAUUAGUUAGUUGGCGGGGUAAUGGCCCACCAAGACGAUGAUCAGUAGGGGUUCUGAGAGGAAGAUCCCCCACACUGGCACUGAGAUACGGGCCAGACUCCUACGGGAGCAGCAGUAGGGAAUAUUGGGUCAAUGGAUGCAAGUCUGAACCAGCCAUGCCGCGUGCAGGAAGAAGGCCUUUCUGGGUUGUAAACUGCUUUUGCCAGGGGAUAAAAUUCCAUGCGUGGAAACUGAAGGUACCUGGUGAAUAAGCCACGGCUAACUACGUGCCAGCAGCCGCGGUAAU